AUGGAGCGGGCGGAGGCGGAGGUGGAGAUGGCCGGCAACGGCGACGCAGUCCACACGCCCCACUCCGCGCCGCCGACGGCGCCGUCGGCGCGGGUGUCGAUCUGGGAGUCGGUCCGCGCGUGCGGGGUGUGGGGCCGCGACGUCGACAAGGCCGAGCUGCGGCGCCGCGUCGUCAUGCCGCUCUACGCGCGGAGGGCCGUCGCCGCCGCCGUCGCCGAGAAGGACGAGGCCGCCGGCGUGGCGGCCGCCGCGGCGGCGAGGGACGAGGCGGUGGGGGGCGCGGAGGAGGAGGACGGGCUGGAGGUGGUGACGCCGAUGGUCGUGUUCGUCAACUCCAAGAGCGGCGGGCGCCACGGGCCCGAGCUCAAGGUGCGGCUCCACGAGCUCAUCAGCAAGGAGCAGGUCUUCGAUCUUUCUGUUGUGAAGCCUUCUGAUUUUGUUCGCUAUGGUUUGGGCUGUUUGGAGAGGUUGGCUGAUCAAGGUGAUAACUGUGCAAAGGACAUCCGUGCAAAUUUGAGGAUUAUGGUUGCUGGAGGUGAUGGCACUGUUGGUUGGGUACUUGGAUGUCUCCAAGAACUUAAUAAGUCAAAAAGGGAACCAGUUCCUCCCACAGGAAUCAUUCCACUUGGGACAGGAAACGACCUUGCUAGAUCAUUUGGAUGGGGUGGCUCUUUUCCCUUUGGUUGGCGUUCAGCUGUAAAGCGAUAUCUCAACAAGGCAGUGUCUGCUUCGGUCGUCCAUCUUGACAGUUGGCAGGCUGUGAUUAGGAUGCCAGAGGGAGAAAUAACAGAGUUGCCACAUGCACUUAAGAAAGCGGAACCUGCUGAUCAGCUGGAGUUCAGCAAGGCAAGUGGCAGUGAGUUAACCGAAAAGGCUUCUUGCUAUAAAGGAGUAUUCUACAACUACCUUAGCAUUGGGAUGGAUGCCCAAGUUGCAUAUGGCUUCCACCAUCUACGAGAUGAAAAGCCAUAUCUUGCUCAAGGACCAGUUGCAAAUAAGUUGAUUUAUGCUGGAUAUAGCUGCACGCAGGGAUGGUUCUGUACCCCUUGUACAGCAAGUCCUCAGCUAAGGGGACUUCGGAACAUUUUGCGGCUUUACAUUAAAAGGGCCAAUUGUUCUGAAUGGGAGCAAAUUCAAAUGCCUUCAAGUGUUAGAUCCAUAGUGGUCUUAAAUCUGGACAACUACGCCAGUGGAAAGCAUCCAUGGGGUGAUCUUAAACCGGAUUAUCUUGAAAAGAAAGGUUUUGUUGAAGCUCAUUCAGACGACGGUUUGAUUGAAAUAUUUGGUCUGAAAGAAGGUUGGCAUGCUUCAUUCGUUAUGGCUGAGCUUAUCAAAGCAAAGCACAUUGCUCAGGCUGCAGCUAUCAAGUUUGAAAUGAGGGGAGGCGAGUGGGAUCGAGCAUAUGUUCAAAUGGAUGGUGAGCCAUGGAAACAACCACUCAUCCAGGACCAGUCGACAAUCGUGGAAAUAAACAAGGUUCCCUAUCAUUCCCGGAUGAUAAACGGGGAUUCAUGA
RNAcentral lists this ribosomal RNA (1515 nucleotides) under Triticum aestivum (bread wheat). RNAcentral's name for it is "partial small subunit ribosomal RNA". Lineage: Eukaryota; Viridiplantae; Streptophyta; Magnoliopsida; Poales; Poaceae. The record is from RNAcentral.